This 119-nucleotide ribosomal RNA is filed under the name Triticum aestivum (bread wheat). RNAcentral also lists the same sequence under 1 other name. Lineage: Eukaryota; Viridiplantae; Streptophyta; Magnoliopsida; Poales; Poaceae. The record is from RNAcentral.
UUGAACAAGGAUACCAGCACUAAAGCACCGGAUCCCAUCAGAACUCCGAAGUUAAGCAUGCUUGGGCGAGAGUAGUACUAGGAUGGGUGACCUCCUGGGAAGUCCUCGUGUUGCAUUCC